AGUGAACGCUAGCGGUAGGCCUAACACAUGCAAGUCGAACGGCAGCACAGUAAGAGCUUGCUCUUACGGGUGGCGAGUGGCGGACGGGUGAGGAAUACAUCGGAAUCUACUUUUUCGUGGGGGAUAACGUAGGGAAACUUACGCUAAUACCGCAUACGACCUACGGGUGAAAGCAGGGGAUCUUCGGACCUUGCGCGAUUGAAUGAGCCGAUGUCGGAUUAGCUAGUUGGCGGGGUAAAGGCCCACCAAGGCGACGAUCCGUAGCUGGUCUGAGAGGAUGAUCGGCCCCCCGGAACUUGAGACACGGUCCGGCCUCCUACGGAGGGCGGAGUUGGGGAUUUUGGGCCAAUGGGCGCAGGCUGGUUCCGCCCUACCGGGGUGGUUGAGGAGGGCCUUCGGUUGGUAAGGCCCUUUUUUUGGAAAGAAAAGCAGCAGGUUAAUACCCCGCUGUUCUGACGGUACCCAAAGAAUAAGCACCGGCUAACUUCGUG
This 491-nucleotide ribosomal RNA is filed under the name uncultured bacterium. RNAcentral describes it as "partial 16S ribosomal RNA". It matches the Rfam family "Bacterial small subunit ribosomal RNA", at positions 29 to 507 of the family's 1533-position model. The record is from RNAcentral.